UUUACAUUCUCCUGCUAUUAAAAUUAUGUAAAUAAAUCAUUUGUAAAUGUGUAAUAUUGGUACGUCAACAUCUUCAUUGCAAAAAAAAAAGUCAGUACAUGUACAAACUUAACUUUAAGCUACACAUUAUUUUGACAGGAAGUCAAGAACUGUCCAUUGAUCAGCACAGCAAUUGAUAAAACAGGACCAUGUUUGAAACACAAGUGGUUCUGAGUUUAAUUCAAUAUUUCACCGGUUGGCUACCAGUUAUAGAAAUCAUGAAUGCAGACGGGCUCGGAGCUGCUAUGUCCCAACCCAACCCCACCUGCUGUUAUGUUGGUACGUACUGACCAACAAAGGAUCUUAUGAUUCAUGUUUUCCUAAAAUACAGGCAGCCAAACAUUACUACAAGACAAAACAUCUCAAUCAUGUCUGAUGGUCUUGUAAAUAUAAAAGCAAAGCUGGAUUUCAUUUCAUAAAACACCUUGAAAAGGUUUCGUAAUGGGAUGAUGGGUUCUUCACACACCACAGUAAGACAAUACUUGACCUUGUAUUUGGUACAAAUCACAUUAUUGUGGAAGCCCCUCUAACAGUAUGAAUGAGGCUGUUUGAGAAGGUUUGAAUCCCUAGCAACCUGCCUACACAUAGUCUGAAGUACAAUACCAACAUAGCUCCAGUAGUAGGUCAAAGCUGGGUGCUGGAAACCCUGGUAGAGCAUGUUGGGGGAAUAGGCAAGUUGGGGGAAUGGGCAUGGUGUUAGGUACGGGGUUAGGCAUGGUGUUAGGUACGGGGUUAGGGAUGGUGUUAGGCAUGGGGUUAGGGAUGGUGUUAGGUAGGGGGUUAGGCAUGGUGUUAGGGAUGGUGUUAGGCAUGGUGUUAGGUAUGGGGUUAGGCAUGGUGUUAGGUAGGGGGUUAGGGAUGGUGUUAGGG
Long non-coding RNA from Oncorhynchus tshawytscha (Chinook salmon), 909 nucleotides. The record is from Ensembl. NCBI's taxonomy places the organism in Eukaryota, Metazoa, Chordata, Actinopteri, Salmoniformes, Salmonidae.